GCUCUCACACACCCACUAGAGAAUAAGAGUUACUCCUCUGUGAGGACCGAAGCGUUGUCUGUUGUGGAACUACUGGUGAAGAGGACAGGAGAGAGCGGUCAGUGGGAGUGUGUCUCAGGAAAGAGUCGCGAACAGCUGCAACGUUCACUAUCCACCCUGCAGACAGACAGCAGACCUGACCUACGAGACAAGGCCCAGGAACUACGGAGGAACAUCCAGAGUCAACCCUGAACAC
This is a long non-coding RNA of Oncorhynchus gorbuscha (pink salmon), 235 nucleotides long. RefSeq lists it as uncharacterized. The transcript is spliced from 3 exons. The record is from RefSeq and is a predicted model, not a curated record. NCBI's taxonomy places the organism in Eukaryota, Metazoa, Chordata, Actinopteri, Salmoniformes, Salmonidae.